Long non-coding RNA from Drosophila sulfurigaster albostrigata, 1270 nucleotides. RefSeq lists it as uncharacterized. Lineage: Eukaryota; Metazoa; Arthropoda; Insecta; Diptera; Drosophilidae. The transcript has 2 exons. The record is from RefSeq and is a predicted model, not a curated record.
CAAAUACUCUAUCAGCAACUGAUUCUUGACAAGCAGUUCCGAGUAUCUGAUUAUAAAUAAUUGUGUUGGUUUUGUUAGUCGGGAUUAUCAAAAAAUAGACUAAAUAAAUGUAAGUUUAGGACAUUUCUAUUAUCUUUAUUGCCUAUUAUCACAAAUUAAUCAUUUGCGUGAAAAAUAUAUUCGAAUGUAAUCCAUUCUAAAGCACAUAGUAGGCAUUUAAAAAAAAAACAGAAUAUUGAGUCUGACCAUUCCAAAUUGUUUCUUCCCAAAUUUUUAAAUUUCAAAGUAAACUUCAAGCCUCUAGUUCCUAAAGUCUUUGAGAUAAAGGUAAUGAUAGAAUCGUAUUCGAUUGCAAAAUGGUGGACAAUCUUAUGAAACACUUACUUGUGCGUCAACGCAUUGUUGUGUAUGCCAACCCAGAACUUUGGAAAGUAGUUGAAAUGCAGCGGAGUCGACUCAAUAGCAACAAGGCAGUGUAACUUGACUAGUGUAUCGUUGAGAGAACCCAUGUUGACACACAUUCGAAGCAUGACAUCGAUGAAGUCGUGAUAUGGUCUGUAGAAGCUAUCGACAAGUGCAUCAUACUCCACAUCAAGACCUCGUGGGGUCAAUUCAGCUAGCGCAAUGCACAUUUGCACCAUGGGUCGAGGAGGACGCGGUGAAUUCUUAGCACCUUGGGGCCAGGGUGUCUGCUUGGCUCCCCGACGUGGGAAGUAUGGACCCAAUGGACCAAUUGCAUUAGGUGCGUUUGCUACAGACAGAUGACAGUUGAUCAAAAUGGGUGCCAAUAUGCUAGUUGCCUCGAGAGUAGUGUUGCGCACCAGCUCCUUGAGCACCUCCAGUGCCAUUCGACUGAUCUCGGGUGAGUUGAAUGUGUUAAGCAAGGUGGCCAAGCGCUUGAUGGCAUCUGGAAGGGCCUUUGCUAAUGCAGAGAGCUGAUGCUGUUGGCGAAGAAAAUGCUGCUGCUGCAACUGCAUUUGCUGUAGUUGAAGGUGUUGCUGCAUUUGCUGCUGCAACUGCUUCUCUUUCUGCUGUGGCGUCUGCGGUGCUUGGGUGCACUGUGCCUGCUGUUGUUUCUGCAUCAGUUGUUGCUGUUGCAAUUGUAACUGCUGUUCCAACUGCUGAUGUUGUUGCUUCUUUUGCGCCGAAUUAUCUGUGCGCAUUCGCAGUGUUGCUAACAGUAGCACCAUCUCGCCAAGUAGGUCUAGGAGAUCUCCAGCCACAUGGCAUGCGGUGGCUUCGUGAUGCAUGGAAUGUAGAGUGUGCAGAG